Molecule: ribosomal RNA, 649 nt
Filed under: uncultured Brachybacterium sp.
Lineage: Bacteria; Bacillati; Actinomycetota; Actinomycetes; Micrococcales; Dermabacteraceae
Description: bacterial SSU rRNA
Rfam family: Bacterial small subunit ribosomal RNA
Source: RNAcentral
UACCGGAUAUGAACACUCCUCGCAUGGUGGGUGGUGGAAAGAAUUAUCGGUGGGGGAUGGACUCGCGGCCUAUCCGUUUGGUGGUGAGGGGAUGGCUCCCCCAGAAGAUGACGGGUAACCGGCCUGGAAGGGCGACCGGCCCCCCUGGGACUGGAACACGGCCCCGAAUCCUACGGGAGGGAGCAGUGGGGAAUAUUGGACCAUGGGCGAAAGCCUGGUGGAGCGACGCCGCGUGGGGGAUGAAGGGCUUCGGGUUGGAAACCCCUUUCCAGAAGGAAAAAACGAGAAUGACGGUACCCGCAAAAGAAACGCCGGCUAACUACGUGGCAGCAGCCGGGGUAAUACGUAGGGCGCAAGCGUUGUCCGGAUUAUUGGGCGUAAGAGCUGGAAGUGGCUUGUGCGUCUGCCGGAAAACCCGAGGCUCACCUCGGCGUGCGUGGGUACGGCAGGCUAAGUGUGGUAGGGAGACUGGAACUCCUGGUGUAGCGUGAAUGCGCAGAUAUCAGAAGACACCGAUGGCGAAGCAGUCUCUGGCCAUACUGACCUGAGAGCGAAGCAUGGUAGCGACAGAAUAGAACCUGGUAGUUCAUGCGUAACGUUGGCCUAGUGUGAGAAUUCACGUUGCGGCGUAGCUAACGCAUUAAGUGCC